UCACCGUAUCAAGCCUGGCUUGUUGUUGGGCCCUUGUCACUUGGUGACAGGUCCGAAAGACAAUGACCGGUGUCGUACAGACUCUAUAUGCAACGAGCUUAUCACAGCACGCAUCUGGCAGUCGUGUGGCCCGGCCCGCACCCUAAUCAAAUUAAUUCUCAA
RNAcentral lists this unclassified non-coding RNA (162 nucleotides) under uncultured Chaetothyriales. Its description in RNAcentral is "sequence contains ITS2". Lineage: Eukaryota; Fungi; Ascomycota; Eurotiomycetes; Chaetothyriales. The record is from RNAcentral.